GUCUUCCUUCUGCAGCACAUAAACUAGAACUGAAAUAAUACAAAGAAGACUGGCAUGGACCCUACACAAGGGUGGCAUCCAAAUUCAUGCAGCAUAUUUUAUUUUU
This is a small nuclear RNA of Psammomys obesus (fat sand rat), 106 nucleotides long. NCBI's taxonomy places the organism in Eukaryota, Metazoa, Chordata, Mammalia, Rodentia, Muridae. The record is from RefSeq and is a predicted model, not a curated record.